CGAGGGGCAGCGGGGUUGUAGCAAUACAACUGCCGGCGACCGGCGCACGGGUGAGUAACACGUAUGUAACCUGCCCUCUGCAGGGGGAUAAGCGGAAGAAAUUCCGUCUAAUACCGCAUAAUACAAUUUGGAGACAUCUCCGGGUUGUCAAAGGAGUGAUCCGGCAGAGGAUGGACAUGCGGCGCAUUAGCUAGUCGGCGGGGUAACGGCCCACCGAGGCUACGAUGCGUAGGGGUUCUGAGAGGAAGGUCCCCCACACUGGUACUGAGACACGGACCAGACUCCUACGGGAGGCAGCAGUGAGGAAUAUUGGUCAAUGGGCGGAAGCCUGAACCAGCCAAGUCGCGUGAGGGAAGACGGUCCUAUGGAUUGUAAACCUCUUUUGCAGGGGAGCAAGGCGCGGUACGUGUACCGCGAAGGAGAGUACCCUGAGAAAAAGCAUCGGCUAACUCCGUGCCAGCAGCCGCGGUAAUACGGAGGAUGCGAGCGUUAUCCGGAUUUAUUGGGUUUAAAGGGUGCGCAGGCGGACUGUUAAGUCAGCAGUAAAAUGUCCGUGCUCAACACCGGCCGGCCGUUGAAACUGGCAGCCUUGAGUGAGCGAGAAGUCUGCCGCAUGCGUGGUGUAGCGGUGAAAUGCAUAG
Molecule: ribosomal RNA, 641 nt
Filed under: uncultured bacterium
Lineage: Bacteria
Description: bacterial SSU rRNA
Rfam family: Bacterial small subunit ribosomal RNA
Source: RNAcentral